Molecule: small nucleolar RNA, 129 nt
Organism: Nannospalax galili (Upper Galilee mountains blind mole rat)
Lineage: Eukaryota; Metazoa; Chordata; Mammalia; Rodentia; Spalacidae
Source: Ensembl
AGCACUUUGUGUGACUGUUCGUUCAACUGGUAGACAAAGGCAUGAAAGACAGGUGCAAAAAUAAGUCCUCUCUUGCAACCCAAAACUCAUUGUUCAAAAUGAGUUUUGACAUAUAGAAGAAGGAAUAUG